AUGCCCUUCUUCUUGGUUCCUGCAAGUACACAUUUGCAAUCCACUAAAGAGGGCUUUAUUUCUACAGUUAUCUCUGAGAGGGAUCUUGAUUUUGCCAAGGAUAUA
Telopea speciosissima is the source of this 105-nucleotide long non-coding RNA. RefSeq lists it as uncharacterized. Lineage: Eukaryota; Viridiplantae; Streptophyta; Magnoliopsida; Proteales; Proteaceae. The transcript has 3 exons. The record is from RefSeq and is a predicted model, not a curated record.